GACGAACGCUGGCGGCGUGCCUAAUACAUGCAAGUAGAACGCUGAAGGAGGAGCUUGCUUCUCCGGAUGAGUUGCGAACGGGUGAGUAACGCGUAGGUAACCUGCCUGGUAGCGGGGGAUAACUAUUGGAAACGAUAGCUAAUACCGCAUAACAGUAGAUGUUGCAUGACAUUUGCUUAAAAGGUGCAAUUGCAUCACUACCAGAUGGACCUGCGUUGUAUUAGCUAGUUGGUGAGGUAACGGCUCACCAAGGCGACGAUACAUAGCCGACCUGAGAGGGUGAUCGGCCACACUGGGACGGAGACACGGCCCAGACUCCUACGGGAGGCAGCAGUAGGGAAUCUUCGGCAAUGGACGGAAGUCUGACCGAGCAACGCCGCGUGAGUGAAGAAGGGUUUCGGAUCGUAAAGCUCUGUUGUAAGAGAAGAACGAGUGUGAGAGUGGAAAGUUCACACUGUGACGGUAUCUUACCAGAAAGGGACGGCUAACUACGUG
Molecule: ribosomal RNA, 495 nt
Filed under: uncultured bacterium
Lineage: Bacteria
Description: partial 16S ribosomal RNA
Rfam family: Bacterial small subunit ribosomal RNA
Source: RNAcentral